Molecule: long non-coding RNA, 1744 nt
Filed under: Salvia miltiorrhiza (redroot sage)
Lineage: Eukaryota; Viridiplantae; Streptophyta; Magnoliopsida; Lamiales; Lamiaceae
Description: long non-coding RNA (SMIL_LNC000813)
Source: RNAcentral
UCCAAACCAAAUAUAGGCUUAAUCUAUUUUGAUAGCCUUUUGGGCUUAAGAUAUUCUCUCAGCUUAAGCAGCCUCUGUUGUUCAAGCCAUGUUUUUUUUUCUUUUACCAAGCUUAUCCAUUAUGGUGUUAAACAUUUGAUCACCUUCCUUCACAUCAUCCAAGCCCCACUGUCUCAGUCUUGGACUCAAUAUUCUAUUUCAAAGAUUUAAGCUAUUCUUUUAGGAUGAAACCUUUCCAAUCUUCAAUCUCCACAUUUUCCCAUUUGUUUUGCACAAAUGGUUUCGGCCCCCAAUUCCUGUUCAUCCAUAACGAGAAUAGACAGUGAUCUGAAAUACUUGUAUCCAAAGCUAAUUGUCUUAGAUUUGACCCUAUCUUCAUCUAAUUUUUAGAAAACAAUAACUUAUCAAUUCUGCUAGCGCUGCUUCCAUUAAUUGCUCCUGUACCAGAUUAGUGCCAAAUUAAUGAGCUCAAAAUGUCGGAUAAAUUCAUCCAACUCCACAUUAUGAAUGAUUUCAAAAGUAUGCAUUGUCGCUCUUUUUUCCGCAUUAUUCUUUAAGUGAAUCACAAAGAAUUCUCUUAUGAGCAAGCCCACAUGAAGAGUAAACACUGAAGAUUGAGAAUUAAAUUUGUUCGUGUCCCCAUCUUCCUUCUACUUCUACACCACACCCAUGAGUUUUCUAGACUGAAAAUUUCUUUGUUCCAAAUAUUAAGUAAACCUCCAGGCUCCAGCAUUGCCUAUAGCUUCUUUGAAAACAAAUUAAACCAAUCUUUCCUGCACAUAGUUUCAGUUUCAAUCACAUACAAAGUCAAUCUCAAAUUUCUCAUAGCUGCAGCUUUCUUACUCCUCCCCCCAUUCCUUUAAUAUUAAAAAGUAAGAGUUUGUUGGUAAAAGAUAAUUUAUAAUAUCAAAAACUCAGUCAAUUUGUUCCUUUUUUAUUUUUCGUGGCAUGUGUUUUUCUUCUUCUUAUUUGGUUAUAUAAUAUAUGCAUGAGAUAAAAUCCAGCCAUAUGCUAUGCUUGUGAAGUCAUAUUUCAUAUAAAAAUAACAACAUGCAAUACAAAGGAAGAUGAUAUUUUAUUAAGGGCACUUGGAUUGACCCUUGGCGUUAAGCAUAUCUCUGUAGCAUGGGCACUCUGAUUUGUUCCCGUAGGUUCCAGAAGGAACGCAUUUGCACUUGUUGCAGCACAUACCGCAAUACCUGAAGCAACGCUUAUAAAUUCCUGCUUUCGCGCACCUUGCGUUACACAUCGCGUCGCAAGAACCUGCGUCUAAUUCAAACAAACACCAAUCAUGUAUUCGACUAUAUAUAUAUAUAUGGAGGGGUUAUUUAAUUACUGAAAUAUAAGUCAACAAAUAAAACCAUCUUUUAGCAAUGUCACCGCCCGACCCGAAUCCGUGCGCGCUCGGGCUCGCCCCCAAUCUAUCACUAAAAUCUUUGUCUGAUAAUUUUUGGGCCGGACUUAGGAACCGGGAUGAGAUUCAAUGUCCCACAAUUUUGUGUGUGUCAACUUGUCUUAUUAUUAUUAUUAUUAUAUUUUUAUCAAAUAAAAUUUAUUAAUCAUGAAUCGUACUUAAUUUUUUUAUCUGAAUAAAUUAAAAAUUUCAAAAUUAAAGUAUAACCUAAUUUUGAAUUUAUCAACUUAUAUUAUCUAAUAAAAGUGAAACUAAAUGAUAAAAUAAUUAUACAUUUUAAAACUAAAUGAUAUAACAAUCACAACAUUAAAUUAAAAUAUAAUAUAAAAU